This 513-nucleotide ribosomal RNA is filed under the name uncultured bacterium. RNAcentral describes it as "partial 16S ribosomal RNA". It matches the Rfam family "Bacterial small subunit ribosomal RNA", at positions 28 to 507 of the family's 1533-position model. The record is from RNAcentral.
GACGAACGCUGGCGGCGUGCUUAACACAUGCAAGUCGAACGAAAGCGUAGAGAAAGCUUGCUUUUUCUACAAUCCAGUGGCGAACGGGAGAGUAACGCGAAAACAACCUGCCCUACGGAUGGGGACAACAGCCGGAAACGACUGCUAAUACCGAAUACGUGCCGAAAGUCGGGGGACGAUCGGAAGAAAGGAUGGCGUCUGUUCUUAAGCUAUCGCCGGUGGAGGGUUUUGCGGCUGAUUAGCUAGUUGGUGGGGUAAAGGCGCACGAAGGGGGCGAUCAGUAGCAGGACGGCGAGGAUGAGCGGCCACACUGGGAGUGAGACACGCUACAGACGCCUAGGGGAGGCAGCAGGAGGGAAUCGUGCGGCAGGGGCGAAAGCCUGACGAAGCAACGCCGCGUGAGGGAAGACGGCCGUCGGGUUGUAGAGCUCGGUUAUCCGGGACGAAUAAUCUUGUGGUUAAUACCCAUGGGAAGUGACGGUACCGUAAGAGAAAGCCACGGCUAACUACGUG